GAUGAACGCUGGCGGCGUGCCUAAUACAUGCAAGUCGAGCGAACGGACGAGAAGCUUGCUUCUCUGAUGUUAGCGGCGGACGGGUGAGUAAAACGUGGAUAACCUACCUAUAAGACUGGGAUAACUUCGGGAAACCGUAGCUAAUACCGGAUAAUAUUUUGAACCGCAUGGUUCAAAAGUGAAAAACGGUCUUGCUGUCACUUAUAGAUGGAUCCGCGCUGCAUUAGCUAGUUGGUAAGGUAACGGCUUACCAAGGCAACGAUGCAUAGCCGACCGGAGAGGGUGAUCGGCCACACUGGAACUGAGACACGGUCCAGACUCCUACGGGAGGCAGCAGUAGGGAAUCUUCCGCAAUGGGCGAAAGCCUGACGGAGCAACGCCGCGUGAGUGAUGAAGGUCUUCGGAUCGUAAAACUCUGUUAUUAGGGAAGAACAUAUGUGUAAGUAACUGUGCACAUCUUGACGGUACCUAAGCAGAAAGCCACGGCUAACUACGG
Molecule: ribosomal RNA, 496 nt
Filed under: uncultured bacterium
Lineage: Bacteria
Description: partial 16S ribosomal RNA
Rfam family: Bacterial small subunit ribosomal RNA
Source: RNAcentral